GCCAGCGUAGCUCAAUCUGGUAGUCAUUCGCGCCAAAGGCGCAGUGGCCGACAGCAUCUGACUUGUAAUCAGAAGGUUGGGGGUUCAAUUCCUCCCGCUGGCU
Molecule: transfer RNA, 103 nt
Filed under: Candidatus Aenigmatarchaeota archaeon
Lineage: Archaea; Nanobdellati; Candidatus Aenigmatarchaeota
Description: tRNA-Thr
Rfam family: tRNA
About the family: Transfer RNA (tRNA) molecules are approximately 80 nucleotides in length. Their secondary structure includes four short double-helical elements and three loops (D, anti-codon, and T loops).
Source: RNAcentral